AUGAACGCUGGCGGCGUGCCUAAUACAUGCCAGUCGAGCGAACGGACGAGAAGCUUGCUUCUCUGAUGUUAGCGGCGGACGGGUGGGUAACACGUGGAUAACCUACCUAUAAGACUGGGAUAACUUCGGGAAACCGUAGCUAAUACCGGAUAAUAUUUUGAACCGCAUGGUUCAAAAGUGAAAGACGGUCUUGCUGUCACUUAUAGAUGGAUCCGCGCUGCAUUAGCUAGUUGGUAAGGUAACGGCUUACCAAGGCAACGAUGCAUAGCCGACCUGAGAGGGUGAUCGGCCACACUGGAACUGAGACACGGUCCAGACUCCUACGGGAGGCAGCAGUAGGGAAUCUUCCGCAAUGGGCGAAAGCCUGACGGAGCAACGCCGCGUGAGUGAUGAAGGUCUUCGGAUCGUAAAACUCUGUUAUUAGGGAAGAACAUAUGUGUAAGUAACUGUGCACAUCUUGACGGUACCUAAUCAGAAAGCCACGGCUAACUACGUG
RNAcentral lists this ribosomal RNA (496 nucleotides) under uncultured bacterium. RNAcentral describes it as "partial 16S ribosomal RNA". It matches the Rfam family "Bacterial small subunit ribosomal RNA", at positions 29 to 507 of the family's 1533-position model. The record is from RNAcentral.